GCUACACUGCAGCACUCCUUCAAAUGUUGCCCAUUUCAGUGAUGGAGAUGAUCAGCAACUCAUCAUAUCAGUCUCUUUGCACACAGGAAAAUCCUCCCCUGCUGCAGACUUCCCAUGGUGACACCUGAAGUGCGCUCUGUGCUGCAGAGAGGCUCCAGGCUCUGUGAGCAUUCCUUCCCACAGGAAAAAAUCUGGCUUGAAGUGGAGAUGCAGAGACUUGUUACUAGCUCACUGUGGAGUUUUGAGAUAUGUGACAGAAUAUUUCUGCAGCACAUGAAGGAAAUGCGGCCAGUGGCUCCAGGUGGGUAGAAAGCAUUUGUGGGCUGGUUUUCCCUCCUUCAUCC
RNAcentral lists this long non-coding RNA (344 nucleotides) under Zonotrichia albicollis (white-throated sparrow). Its description in RNAcentral is "lncRNA (ENSZALG00000000023.1)". The record is from RNAcentral. Lineage: Eukaryota; Metazoa; Chordata; Aves; Passeriformes; Passerellidae.